GUCUUCAGGAGUGUUGUGCCUGUGCUGGUGGCCCUGGAAAAGCCUUCCUGACUGCUGUUGAAAUGUCAGAUGGUAAAAACAACCAAGAGUUCCAGAUGGGGCAAUUGGAAGAGAAACAUGCUGAAGAUGAUAAUAAGAAAGUUCUGGAUUCUCUCAAGUGGGAGUCCCAUGUCCUCACCUGUGACUUCCAAAUGCAGUCACUGUUCAAGUCUUGUGCAAAGCAGCAUGCC
RNAcentral lists this long non-coding RNA (230 nucleotides) under Gallus gallus (chicken). The record is from RNAcentral. Lineage: Eukaryota; Metazoa; Chordata; Aves; Galliformes; Phasianidae.